ACGGGAGGCAGCAGUAAGGGAUGUUGGGCAAUGGGGGGAACCCUGACCCAGCCAUGCCGCGUGAGGGAAUGAGGCCCUACGGGUCGUGAACCUCUUUUGCCUGGGGAUAACCCCUCCCGCGUGACGGGGGGCUGCAGGUACCAGGCGAAUAAGCAUCGGCUAACUCCGUGCCAGCAGCCGCGGUAAUACGGAGGAUGCGAGCGUUAUCCGGAUUCAUUGGGUUUAAAGGGAGCGUAGGCGGGAAGUCAAGUCAGCUGUGAAAUGUAGGCGCUCAACGUCUGCACUGCAGUUGAAACUGGUUUUCUUGAGUGCGUAAGAAGCAGGCGGAAUUCGUCGUGUAGCGGUGAAAUGCUUAGAUAUGACGAAGAACUCCUAUUGCGAAGGCAGCUUGCUGGGCCGCAACUGACGCUGAAGCUCGAAGGUGCGGGUAUCGAACAGGAUUAGAUACCCUGGUA
RNAcentral lists this ribosomal RNA (455 nucleotides) under uncultured Prevotellaceae bacterium. Its description in RNAcentral is "bacterial SSU rRNA". It matches the Rfam family "Bacterial small subunit ribosomal RNA", at positions 341 to 792 of the family's 1533-position model. Lineage: Bacteria; Pseudomonadati; Bacteroidota; Bacteroidia; Bacteroidales; Prevotellaceae. The record is from RNAcentral.